RNAcentral lists this long non-coding RNA (340 nucleotides) under Zostera marina. Its description in RNAcentral is "long non-coding RNA (ZMAR_LNC001804)". Lineage: Eukaryota; Viridiplantae; Streptophyta; Magnoliopsida; Alismatales; Zosteraceae. The record is from RNAcentral.
UGUCGGCCACUCUUUCGUUGUGGUACCUUGCCACCCUUCGCUUGUAAGUGAGAUCCCUGAUGGACGCCUCCUCUCUCCGGCCCUCCAAGUACUCCCUUUCUAGGAACAUGGCUUGGUCGUUCGUGCCCGGUUGGAACUGCUCGAUACGCGCAGUUGGCCACACCAACUCUGCUGGCGCCACCGCCUCCAUCCCGAAUGCGAGGGCGAAGGGUGUUUGACCCGUGGGCGUUCGGAUGGUCGUGCGGUACGCCCACAUGGUUUCCGGGACUAGGUCCGCCCAGUUUCCCGGGUGUUCGCCCACCUUCCUUUUCAGGAUCGACGUUAUUGUUCGGUUCGUCAC